Non-coding RNA from Dipodomys ordii (Ord's kangaroo rat), 70 nucleotides. The record is from Rfam. Lineage: Eukaryota; Metazoa; Chordata; Mammalia; Rodentia; Heteromyidae.
GGGAAUGUGGCUUAGCGGUAGAGUGCUUGCUUGGCAUGCAUGAAGCCCUGGGUUUGAUUUCCCAGUACCA